Molecule: ribosomal RNA, 497 nt
Filed under: uncultured bacterium
Lineage: Bacteria
Description: partial 16S ribosomal RNA
Rfam family: Bacterial small subunit ribosomal RNA
Source: RNAcentral
GAUGAACGCUGGCGGCGUGCCUAAUACAUGCAAGUCGAGCGAACAGACGAGGAGUUUGCUCCUCUGACGUUAGCGGCGGACGGGUGAGUAACACGUGGAUAACCUACCUAUAAGACUGGGAUAACUUCGGGAAACCGGAGCUAAUACCGGAUAAUAUAUUGAACCGCAUGGUUCAAUAGUGAAAGACGGUUUUGCUUUCACUUAUAGAUGGAUCCGCGCCGCAUUAGCUAGUUGGUAAGGUAACGGCUUACCAAGGCGACGAUGCGUAGCCGACCUGAGAGGGUGAUCGGCCACACUAGAACUGAGACACGGUCCAGACUCCUACGGGAGGCAGCAGUAGGGAAUCUUCCGCAAUGGGCGAAAGCCUGACGGAGCAACGCCGCGUGAGUGAUGAAGGUCUUCGGAUCGUAAAACUCUGUUAUUAGGGAAGAACAAAUGUGUAAGUAACUAUGCACGUCUUGACGGUACCUAAUCAGAAAGCCACGGCUAACUACGUG